AGUGAACGCUGGCGGUAGGCCUAACACAUGCAAGUCGAACGGCAGCACAGUAAGAGCUUGCUCUUACGGGUGGCGAGUGGCGGACGGGUGAGGAAUACAUCGGAAUCUACUUUUUCGUGGGGGAUAACGUAGGGAAACUUACGCUAAUACCGCAUACGACCUACGGGUGAAAGCAGGGGAUCUUCGGACCUUGCGCGAUUGAAUGAGCCGAUGUCGGAUUAGCUAGUUGGCGGGGUAAAGGCCCACCAAGGCGACGAUCCGUAGCUGGUCUGAGAGGAUGAUCAGCCACACUGGAACUGAGACACGGUCCAGACUCCUACGGGAGGCAGCAGUGGGGAAUAUUGGAUAAUGGGCGCAAGCCUGAUCCAGCCAUACCGCGUGGGUGAAGAAGGCCUUCGGGUUGUAAAGCCCUUUUGUUGGGAAAGAAAAGCAGCAGGUUAAUACCCCGCUGUUCUGACGGUACCCAAAGAAUAAGCACCGGCUAACUUCG
RNAcentral lists this ribosomal RNA (490 nucleotides) under uncultured bacterium. Its description in RNAcentral is "partial 16S ribosomal RNA". It matches the Rfam family "Bacterial small subunit ribosomal RNA", at positions 29 to 505 of the family's 1533-position model. The record is from RNAcentral.